ACUGAAACACUUGUCCCUGCAUGAACUCUGAAGUUAAGCAAUGUUGAGCCUGGUUAGUACCUAGAUGGAUGACCACUUAGGAAUAUCAGGUGUUGUAAG
This is a non-coding RNA of Acanthosepion pharaonis, 99 nucleotides long. Lineage: Eukaryota; Metazoa; Mollusca; Cephalopoda; Sepiida; Sepiidae. The record is from the annotation of a GenBank genome assembly.